This 253-nucleotide ribosomal RNA is filed under the name uncultured bacterium. RNAcentral describes it as "partial 16S ribosomal RNA". It matches the Rfam family "Bacterial small subunit ribosomal RNA", at positions 524 to 776 of the family's 1533-position model. The record is from RNAcentral.
UACGUAGGUGGCAAGCGUUAUCCGGAAUUAUUGGGCGUAAAGCGCGCGCAGGUGGUUUCUUAAGUCUGAUGUGAAAGCCCACGGCUCAACCGUGGAGGGUCAUUGGAAACUGGGAGACUUGAGUGCAGAAGAGGAGAGUGGAAUUCCCGGUGUAGCGGUGAAAUGCGCAGAUAUCGGGAAGAACACCCGUGGCGAAGGCGGCUCUCUAGUACGGUACUGACGCUGAGACGCGAAAGCGUGGGGAGCGAACAGG